UCCGAGGUUGGAUCCUUUGCACCCACCUUUAGUCCUUAAACGCACCGUCAGCCUUCAAACGUGCGCUGUUCACCAUCAUAACCACCAGAGGGCGCUGAUCAUGCAAAGAGAAGAGCAUUUCAGGUGGAAAGAAUGAGUCCUGAGAUAAACCCAGGCAUUUGGCCUGGUUUUACUGUAAAAUAAAUAAAUAAAUAAGACAAAAUCAUGGUCACUGAGUUGAAGUUGUUGUGUCAGGUAUCAUCAGGUGUGGAGGAAACCGUUUUAUGGAUCCAUCAGUGAAAAAGAAGAGUACAGAAAGGAAAUACGAGAGCAGCUGAAGAGGCAGAUGGAGGAGAAGUCCGUGGAACUGAAGCUGCAGCUGGCUAGUAAAAUAAAAGAAGCAGAGCAUCUCAUAGCGGUGGAACGCCUCGCCCUAUCUAGUGAGAGACAGCAGCGAAUUCAGCACACCAAAGCAAUGACAGUCUACAGAGAUGAGAACAAGAGGCUAAUGGAGCAGAGCAGGAGGGACAGAGCACUAACACAUUCCCAGGAGGCCCUGAAGGAGAGAGAGCUGCUGCGCCUUAACCCCAUUAACUGGA
This is a long non-coding RNA of Gambusia affinis (western mosquitofish), 578 nucleotides long. RefSeq lists it as uncharacterized. The record is from RefSeq and is a predicted model, not a curated record. Lineage: Eukaryota; Metazoa; Chordata; Actinopteri; Cyprinodontiformes; Poeciliidae. The transcript has 3 exons.